Molecule: ribosomal RNA, 724 nt
Filed under: uncultured bacterium
Lineage: Bacteria
Description: bacterial SSU rRNA
Rfam family: Bacterial small subunit ribosomal RNA
Source: RNAcentral
CCAAGAGCCGCAUGGCCCAUGAAAGAAAGGUGGCCUCUACCUGUAAGCUAUCGCCUGAAGAGGGGUUUGCGUCUGAUUAGCUGGUUGGAGGGGUAACGGCCCUCCAAGGCGACGAUCAGUAGCCGGUCUGAGAGGAUGAACGGCCACACUGGAACUGAGACACGGUCCAGACUCCUACGGGAGGCAGCAGUGGGGAAUCUUCCGCAAUGGGCGAAAGCCUGACGGAGCAACGCCGCGUGAGUGAUGACGGCCUUCGGGUUGUAAAACUCUGUGAUCCGGGACGAAAAGGCAGAGUGCGAAGAACAAACUGCAUUGACGGUACCGGAAAAGCAAGCCACGGCUAACUACGUGCCAGCAGCCGCGGUAAUACGUAGGUGGCAAGCGUUGUCCGGAAUUAUUGGGCGUAAAGCGCGCGCAGGCGGCUUCCCAAGUCCCUCUUAAAAGUGCGGGGCUUAACCCCGUGAUGGGAAGGAAACUGGGAAGCUGGAGUAUCGGAGAGGAAAGUGGAAUUCCUAGUGUAGCGGUGAAAUGCGUAGAGAUUAGGAAGAACACCGGUGGCGAAGGCGACUUUCUGGACGAAAACUGACGCUGAGGCGCGAAAGCGUGGGGAGCAAACAGGAUUAGAUACCCUGGUAGUCCACGCCGUAAACGAUGGAUACUAGGUGUAGGAGGUAUCGACCCCUCCUGUGCCGGAGUUAACGCAAUAAGUAUCCCGCUUGGGAAC